This 253-nucleotide ribosomal RNA is filed under the name uncultured bacterium. RNAcentral's name for it is "partial 16S ribosomal RNA". It matches the Rfam family "Bacterial small subunit ribosomal RNA", at positions 524 to 776 of the family's 1533-position model. The record is from RNAcentral.
UACAGAGGUCUCAAGCGUUGUUCGGAUUCAUUGGGCGUAAAGGGUGCGUAGGUGGCGCCGUAAGUCGGAUGUGAAAUUUCGGAGCUUAACUCCGAAACUGCAUUCGAUACUGCGGUGCUUGAGGACUGGAGAGGAGACUGGAAUUCAUGGUGUAGCGGUGAAAUGCGUAGAGAUCAUGAGGAAGACCAGUGGCGAAGGCGGGUCUCUGGACAGUUCCUGACACUGAGGCACGAAGGCCAGGGGAGCAAACGGG